This is a non-coding RNA of Ochotona curzoniae (black-lipped pika), 1167 nucleotides long. The record is from the annotation of a RefSeq genome assembly. NCBI's taxonomy places the organism in Eukaryota, Metazoa, Chordata, Mammalia, Lagomorpha, Ochotonidae.
GAAGUUCUCAGAGAAGGGUAUGCUGUGGACUGUAGCCCUAUUUGUAGCUUUCCUUGCUCCUGGAAGUCAAGCUUCUUCCAAACCAGAAGAAACAAUGAGAAUGGUUACCCAGUCAGCUGGGUCGUCUGUUAUAAUCACUUGUGGGAUUUCUCAACAAAGCAGCUAUAUCCACUGGUACCGUUUCAAGGAUGGAGAGGCCCCACAACGCCUUCUCUACUAUGACUUCAUUAAGUCUUCUUUUGUAAUGGAUUCAGGAGUCAGUCCAAGCAAAUAUCAUGCCUACGAACACACUGGAAAGAGCUGUAAAUUUGUAGUACAAAAUCUAGAAGAAAGUGAUUCUGGAAUGUAUUACUGUGCCACCUUCUUAGCACAGUGGUUCAGACCUGCCCAGAACUACACUGAAAAUGUUGCUUGUGGUUGUUCCUGGUAUCCACAUAGACCACCCCCACAUUACCUCUUGCUCCUCUCUCACUGUGCUCUGUAAAAAGCACCUCACAGUUCACCACCUAACACCAAGCCUACUGCCCACUCCCCUCUCAGUGGCUUCCCUUUGGCCUCAGAACCUCAUGCUUGCACCCUCUGCCCCAGGAGUUUCCUAAGGACCAAAAGCCCAUCGCCAAGUUGUUAGCUCAGCAGGCUAGCACCCGGCUGAGUUCUUUCUCACCCCCCCGCCCCCUUAGCUGGAAAGUUACUAUUUCAUCUGAUUGUAGGUUGGGCAAGCUCUCCUAGUUGGUUUGUUAGGAGAAACAUUUCAUCUCCUGGAAUACUGUAUCCAGGGAGCAAGUUUAUGAAAUCUGUGCAUUUAAGCUUCCAGAUUAGUGAAAUAUUGCAGUCAUUCCAAAGGUUCCAAUGAAUAAGGAAACAAACGCUCAGGGAUGUAUCACUUAGUUGUCUUGAAUCUUCACAUUUUGGCACAUUUGCCUCAUUUUAUAUGACUGUUAUUACUGAUGCAGCUGAAGACUCUGAGUUUAUAAUCCCAACCCCAUUCUUCCUCUUCUCUUCCCAUGGGAACCAGCAACUUGAACUUGGUGCCCUUGUCUCUCUCAUGCUGCAGGUGCUUGUAUUCACAAGUAAUGCACAGUUUCAUCCUGCUUUAAAACUUAGCAAACGAGGGCCUGGCAGCAUGGCCUAGCGGCUAAAGUCCUCGCUUUGAAUGCACCAGGAUCC